AAAGUGCGCCGGACAGUCGCUGCCUGAAUUUCAGGGAGAGGAAAGUCCGGACUCCAGUGAGCACGGUGCUGGUUAACGACCAGGCGUUAUAAGGUUUUGGCAACAAGACUGAAGGCGACGGAAAGUGCAACAGAAAACACACCGCCGAUGGAAAGGAAACUUUCACAGGCAAGGGCGAACCGGAGGUGUAAGAGACCCCCGCAGACUUGGCGACAAGGCUGGCUAGGUAAACCCCACUUGGAGCAACACCAAAUAGGCGCGCAGGCGCUUUAAGCGUCAACGGCGCUCCCCGAGCGCGCGGGUAGGUGGCUUGAGCUGAAGAGUAAUUUUCAGCCUAGAGGAAUGAUUGUCACUUUGGCCGCAAGGCCAUUGAACAGAAUCCGGCUUACAGGCGCACUUUCCGU
This 404-nucleotide RNase P RNA is filed under the name Gammaproteobacteria bacterium. RNAcentral's name for it is "RNase P RNA component class A". It matches the Rfam family "Bacterial RNase P class A". Rfam says of the family: Ribonuclease P (RNase P) is a ubiquitous endoribonuclease, found in archaea, bacteria and eukarya as well as chloroplasts and mitochondria. Its best characterised activity is the generation of mature 5'-ends of tRNAs by cleaving the 5'-leader elements of precursor-tRNAs. RNAcentral also lists the same sequence under 2 other names. Lineage: Bacteria; Pseudomonadati; Pseudomonadota; Gammaproteobacteria. The record is from RNAcentral.